CAUCGGCUUGCGGGUCGAUGUGAGCCAACGGUGAGAUACCACUCUUUGCGAGCUAGGGUUCUAACGGCCACCCGUCAUCCGGGGGCCGGACAGUACCUGGUGGGCAGUUUGACUGGGGCGGUCGCCUCCUAAAAGGUAACGGAGGCGCGCAAAGGUUUGCUCAGGCUGGUUGGAAAUCAGCCGACGAGUGUAAAAGCAGAAGCAAGCUUGACUGUGAGACCAACAAGUCGAACAGGGAGGAAACUCGGCUUUAGUGAUCCGACGGUUCUGAGUGGAAGGGCCGUCGCUCAACGGAUAAAAGUUACUCUAGGGAUAACAGG
This 320-nucleotide ribosomal RNA is filed under the name uncultured eukaryote. Its description in RNAcentral is "LSU rRNA". It matches the Rfam family "Bacterial large subunit ribosomal RNA", at positions 2162 to 2481 of the family's 2925-position model. The record is from RNAcentral.